This is a small nuclear RNA of Sceloporus undulatus (fence lizard), 127 nucleotides long. NCBI's taxonomy places the organism in Eukaryota, Metazoa, Chordata, Lepidosauria, Squamata, Phrynosomatidae. The record is from RefSeq and is a predicted model, not a curated record.
CAAAAAUAUGAAAAGAGAGAAGGUUAGCACUAUUAUUGAUAAGGAUGGAGCAGAUCCUAGUGGCCUAUAAAAUACUCAUAGUGUUAACACACUGUCACUUGCUUUAACACACUUUCGCAUGUUAUUU